RNAcentral lists this ribosomal RNA (253 nucleotides) under uncultured bacterium. Its description in RNAcentral is "partial 16S ribosomal RNA". It matches the Rfam family "Bacterial small subunit ribosomal RNA", at positions 524 to 776 of the family's 1533-position model. The record is from RNAcentral.
UACGGGGGGGGCAAGCGUUGUUCGGAAUUACUGGGCGUAAAGGGCUCGUAGGUGGCCAACUAAGUCAGACGUGAAAUCCCUCGGCUUAACCGGGGAACUGCGUCUGAUACUGGAUGGCUUGAGUUUGGGAGAGGGAUGCGGAAUUCCAGGUGUAGCGGUGAAAUGCGUAGAUAUCUGGAGGAACACCGGUGGCGAAGGCGGCAUCCUGGACCAACACUGACACUGAUGAGCGAAAGCCAGGGGAGCAAACGGG